UACGUAGGGCGCAAGCGUUGUCCGGAAUUAUUGGGCGUAAAGAGCUCGUAGGCGGUCUGUCGCGUCGGCUGUGAAAACCCGGAGCUCAACUCCGGGCCUGCAGUCGAUACGGGCAGACUGGAGUUCGGCAGGGGAGACUGGAAUUCCUGGUGUAGCGGUGAAAUGCGCAGAUAUCAGGAGGAACACCGAUGGCGAAGGCAGCCUUCUGGGCCAACACUGACGCUCAUGCACGAAAGCGUGGGGAGCAAACAGG
RNAcentral lists this ribosomal RNA (253 nucleotides) under uncultured bacterium. RNAcentral's name for it is "partial 16S ribosomal RNA". It matches the Rfam family "Bacterial small subunit ribosomal RNA", at positions 524 to 776 of the family's 1533-position model. The record is from RNAcentral.